RNAcentral lists this long non-coding RNA (212 nucleotides) under Elaeis guineensis (African oil palm). Its description in RNAcentral is "long non-coding RNA (EGUI_LNC065350)". Lineage: Eukaryota; Viridiplantae; Streptophyta; Magnoliopsida; Arecales; Arecaceae. The record is from RNAcentral.
GGUGGUUAGGUUGGCCGAUCAAAGUCGGACCAGAUCAUUUAUUGGUUAGAUGGGCUAAGCAUAGUCAUGUUAAUGGUUGGACUUAACCAGGACUUGUAGAGAUGGCCAAAGCCAAUUGAACAAAAACUUAGGGCAAAAUUAAUUACUAAAAAUUAUUUAGAGAAAUAAUUGAUUAAGAACCUACCCAUAGAUGCACAUAGAUUGACUGGCCA